UGGUUAAGUGGGAAACGAUGUGGGAAGGCCCAGACAGCCAGGAUGUUGGCUUAGAAGCAGCCAUCAUUUAAAGAAAGCGUAAUAGCUCACUGGUCGAGUCGGCCUGCGCGGAAGAUGUAACGGGGCUAAACCAUGCACCGAAGCUGCGGCAGCGACGCUGAUGCGUUGUUGGGUAGGGGAGCGUUCUGUAAGCCUGCGAAGGUGUGCUGUGAGGCAUGCUGGAGGUAUCAGAAGUGCGAAUGCUGACAUAAGUAACGAUAAAGCGGGUGAAAAGCCCGCUCGCCGGAAGACCAAGGGUUCCUGUCCAACGUUAAUCGGGGCAGGGUGAGUCGACCCCUAAGGCGAGGCCGAAAGGCGUAGUCGAUGGGAAACAGGUUAAUAUUCCUGUACUUGGUGUUACUGCGAAGGGGGGACGGAGAAGGCUAUGUUGGCCGGGCGACGGUUGUCCCGGUUUAAGCGUGUAGGCUGGUUUUCCAGGCAAAUCCGGAAAAUCAAGGCUGAGGCGUGAUGACGAGGCACUACGGUGCUGAAGCAACAAAUGCCCUGCUUCCAGGAAAAGCCUCUAAGCAUCAGGUAACAUCAAAUCGUACCCCAAACCGACACAGGUGGUCAGGUAGAGAAUACCAAGGCGCUUGAGAGAACUCGGGUGAAGGAACUAGGCAAAAUGGUGCCGUAACUUCGGGAGAAGGCACGCUGAUAUGUAGGUGAAGCGACUUGCUCGUGGAGCUGAAAUCAGUCGAAGAUACCAGCUGGCUGCAACUGUUUAUUAAAAACACAGCACUGUGCAAACACGAAAGUGGACGUAUACGGUGUGACGCCUGCCCGGUGCCGGAAGGUUAAUUGAUGGGGUUAGCGCAAGCGAAGCUCUUGAUCGAAGCCCCGGUAAACGGCGGCCGUAACUAUAACGGUCCUAAGGUAGCGAAAUUCCUUGUCGGGUAAGUUCCGACCUGCACGAAUGGCGUAAUGAUGGCCAGGCUGUCUCCACCCGAGACUCAGUGAAAUUGAACUCGCUGUGAAGAUGCAGUGUACCCGCGGCAAGACGGAAAGACCCCGUGAACCUUUACUAUAGCUUGACACUGAACAUUGAGCCUUGAUGUGUAGGAUAGGUGGGAGGCUUUGAAGUGUGGACGCCAGUCUGCAUGGAGCCGACCUUGAAAUACCACCCUUUAAUGUUUGAUGUUCUAACGUUGACCCGUGAUCCGGGUUGCGGACAGUGUCUGGUGGGUAGUUUGACUGGGGCGGUCUCCUCCUAAAGAGUAACGGAGGAGCACGAAGGUUGGCUAAUCCUGGUCGGACAUCAGGAGGUUAGUGCAAUGGCAUAAGCCAGCUUGACUGCGAGCGUGACGGCGCGAGCAGGUGCGAAAGCAGGUCAUAGUGAUCCGGUGGUUCUGAAUGGAAGGGCCAUCGCUCAACGGAUAAAAGGUACUCCGGGGAUAACAGGCUGAUACCGCCCAAGAGUUCAUAUCGACGGCGGUGUUUGGCACCUCGAUGUCGGCUCAUCACAUCCUGGGGCUGAAGUAGGUCCCAAGGGUAUGGCUGUUCGCCAUUUAAAGUGGUACGCGAGCUGGGUUUAGAACGUCGUGAGACAGUUCGGUCCCUAUCUGCCGUGGGCGCUGGAGAACUGAGGGGGGCUGCUCCUAGUACGAGAGGACCGGAGUGGACGCAUCACUGGUGUUCGGGUUGUCAUGCCAAUGGCACUGCCCGGUAGCUAAAUGCGGAAGAGAUAAGUGCUGAAAGCAUCUAAGCACGAAACUUGCCCCGAGAUGAGUUCUCCCUGACUCCUUGA
This 1786-nucleotide ribosomal RNA is filed under the name Escherichia coli. RNAcentral describes it as "bacterial LSU rRNA". It matches the Rfam family "Bacterial large subunit ribosomal RNA", at positions 1056 to 2826 of the family's 2925-position model. Lineage: Bacteria; Pseudomonadati; Pseudomonadota; Gammaproteobacteria; Enterobacterales; Enterobacteriaceae. The record is from RNAcentral.